This 31-nucleotide non-coding RNA is filed under the name Drosophila melanogaster (fruit fly). The record is from RNAcentral. Lineage: Eukaryota; Metazoa; Arthropoda; Insecta; Diptera; Drosophilidae. RNAcentral also lists the same sequence under 10 other names.
UGACCUCAAAUCAGGUAGGACUACCCGCUGA